Molecule: ribosomal RNA, 452 nt
Filed under: uncultured bacterium
Lineage: Bacteria
Description: partial 16S ribosomal RNA
Rfam family: Bacterial small subunit ribosomal RNA
Source: RNAcentral
UAGGGAAUCUUCCACAAUGGACGCAAGUCUGAUGGAGCAACGCCGCGUGAGUGAAGAAGGCUUUCGGGCGUAAAACUCUGUUAUUGAAGAAGAACGUGUGUGACAGUAACUGGUCAUGCAGUGACGGUAUUCAAUCAGAAAGUCACGGCUAACUACGUGCCAGCAGCCGCGGUAAUACGUAGGUGGCAAGCGUUGUCCGGAUUUAUUGGGCGUAAAGCGAGUGCAGGCGGUCUUUUAAGUCNGAUGUGAAAGCCUUCGGCUUAACCGAAGAAGGGCAUCGGAAACUGGGAGACUUGAGUGCAGAAGAGGAGAGUGGAACUCCAUGUGUAGCGGUGAAAUGCGUAGAUAUAUGGAAGAACACCAGUGGCGAAGGCGGCUCUCUGGUCUGUAACUGACGCUGAGGCUCGAAAGCGUGGGUAGCAAACAGGNUUAGAUACCCUGGUAGUCCACGC